CCAGACUCCUACGGGAGGCAGCAGUGAGGAAUAUUGGUCAAUGGGCGCGAGCCUGAACCAGCCAAGUAGCGUGAAGGAUGACUGCCCUACGGGUUGUAAACUUCUUUUAUAAAGGAAUAAAGUGAGGCACGUGUGCCUUUUUGUAUGUACUUUAUGAAUAAGGAUCGGCUAACUCCGUGCCAGCAGCCGCGGUAAUACGGAGGAUCCGAGCGUUAUCCGGAUUUAUUGGGUUUAAAGGGUGCGUAGGCGGACUGUUAAGUCGGCGGUAAAAGCCCGGGGCUCAACCCCGGCGAGCCGUUGAAACUGGCUGUCUUGAGAUGUCGAGAGGUAUGCGGAAUGCGCAGUGUAGCGGUGAAAUGCAUAGAUAUCACGCAGAACUCCGAUUGCGAAGGCAGCAUACCGGCGCUCAACUGACGCUCAUGCACGAAAGUGUGGGUAUCGAACAGGAUUAGAUACCCCAGUAU
Molecule: ribosomal RNA, 464 nt
Filed under: uncultured bacterium
Lineage: Bacteria
Description: bacterial SSU rRNA
Rfam family: Bacterial small subunit ribosomal RNA
Source: RNAcentral